This 465-nucleotide ribosomal RNA is filed under the name Vreelandella stevensii. Its description in RNAcentral is "partial 16S ribosomal RNA". It matches the Rfam family "Bacterial small subunit ribosomal RNA", at positions 338 to 795 of the family's 1533-position model. Lineage: Bacteria; Pseudomonadati; Pseudomonadota; Gammaproteobacteria; Oceanospirillales; Halomonadaceae. The record is from RNAcentral.
CCUACGGGAGGCAGCAGUGGGGAAUAUUGGACAAUGGGGGGAACCCUGAUCCAGCCAUGCCGCGUGUGUGAAGAAGGCCCUCGGGUUGUAAAGCACUUUCAGUGAGGAAGAACGCCUGGUGGUUAAUACCCAUCAGGAAAGACAUCACUCACAGAAGAAGCACCGGCUAACUCCGUGCCAGCAGCCGCGGUAAUACGGAGGGUGUGAGCGUUAAUCGGAAUUUCUGGGCGUAAAGCGCGCGUAGGUGGCUUGAUAAGCCGGUUGUGAAAGCCCCGGGCUCAACCUGGGAACGGCAUCCGGAACUGUCAAGCUAGAGUGCAGGAGAGGAAGGUAGAAUUCCCGGUGUAGCGGUGAAAUGCGUAGAGAUCGGGAGGAAUACCAGUGGCGAAGGCGGCCUUCUGGACUGACACUGACACUGAGGUGCGAAAGCGUGGGUAGCAAACAGGAUUAGAUACCCCUGUAGUC